RNAcentral lists this ribosomal RNA (292 nucleotides) under uncultured microorganism. Its description in RNAcentral is "partial 16S ribosomal RNA". It matches the Rfam family "Bacterial small subunit ribosomal RNA", at positions 505 to 796 of the family's 1533-position model. The record is from RNAcentral.
GUGCCAGCAGCCGCGGUGAUACGUAGGGUGCGAGCGUUGUCCGGAUUUAUUGGGCGUAAAGAGCUUGUAGGCGGUUUGUUGCGUCGGAAGUGAAAACUCAGGGCUUAACUCUGAGCCUGCUUUCGAUACGGGCAGACUUGAGGAAGGUAGGGGAGAAUGGAAUUCCUGGUGAAGCGGUGGAAUGCGUAGAUAUCAGGAGGAACACCGGUGGCGAAGGCGGUUCUCUGGACCUUUCCUGACGCUGAGAAGCGAAAGCGUGGGGAGCAAACAGGCUUAGAUACCCUGGUAGUCC